Molecule: ribosomal RNA, 926 nt
Filed under: uncultured bacterium
Lineage: Bacteria
Description: bacterial SSU rRNA
Rfam family: Bacterial small subunit ribosomal RNA
Source: RNAcentral
GUUUUGAUCCUGGCUCAGGAUGAACGCUGGCGGCGUGCCUAAUACAUGCAAGUCGAGCGAACGGACGAGAAGCUUGCUUCUCUGAUGUUAGCGGCGGACGGGUGAGUAACACGUGGAUAACCUACCUAUAAGACUGGGAUAACUUCGGGAAACCGGAGCUAAUACCGGAUAAUAUUUUGAACCGCAUGGUUCAAAAGUGAAAGACGGUCUUGCUGUCACUUAUAGAUGGAUCCGCGCUGCAUUAGCUAGUUGGUAAGGUAACGGCUUACCAAGGCAACGAUGCAUAGCCGACCUGAGAGGGUGAUCGGCCACACUGGAACUGAGACACGGUCCAGACUCCUACGGGAGGCAGCAGUAGGGAAUCUUCCGCAAUGGGCGAAAGCCUGACGGAGCAACGCCGCGUGAGUGAUGAAGGUCUUCGGAUCGUAAAACUCUGUUAUUAGGGAAGAACAUAUGUGUAAGUAACUGUGCACAUCUUGACGGUACCUAAUCAGAAAGCCACGGCUAACUACGUGCCAGCAGCCGCGGUAAUACGUAGGUGGCAAGCGUUAUCCGGAAUUAUUGGGCGUAAAGCGCGCGUAGGCGGUUUUUUAAGUCUGAUGUGAAAGCCCACGGCUCAACCGUGGAGGGUCAUUGGAAACUGGAAAACUUGAGUGCAGAAGAGGAAAGUGGAAUUCCAUGUGUAGCGGUGAAAUGCGCAGAGAUAUGGAGGAACACCAGUGGCGAAGGCGACUUUCUGGUCUGUAACUGACGCUGAUGUGCGAAAGCGUGGGGAUCAAACAGGAUUAGAUACCCUGGUAGUCCACGCCGUAAACGAUGAGUGCUAAGUGUUAGGGGGUUUCCGCCCCUUAGUGCUGCAGCUAACGCAUUAAGCACUCCGCCUGGGGAGUACGACCGCAAGGUUGAAACUCAAAGGAAUUGACGGC